UAGGGAAUCUUCCGCAAUGGACGCAAGUCUGACGGAGCAACGCCGCGUGAGUGAAGAAGGAUUUCGGUUCGUAAAACUCUGUUGUUAGAGAAGAACAGCGCAUAGAGUAACUGUUAUGCGUGUGACGGUAUCUAACCAGAAAGCCACGGCUAACUACGUGCCAGCAGCCGCGGUAAUACGUAGGUCCCGAGCGUUGUCCGGAUUUAUUGGGCGUAAAGCGAGCACAGGCGGUUAGAAAAGUCUGAAGUGAAAGGCAGUGGCUCAACCAUUGUAGGCUUUGGAAACUGUUUAACUUGAGUGCAGAAGGGUAGAGUGGAAUUCCAUGUGUAGCGGUGAAAUGCGUAGAUAUAUGGAGGAACACCAGUGGCGAAAGCGGCUCUCUGGUCUGUAACUGACGCUGAGGCUCGAAAGCGUGGGGAGCGAACAGG
RNAcentral lists this ribosomal RNA (428 nucleotides) under Bacteroidota bacterium. RNAcentral describes it as "Bacteroidetes bacterium partial 16S ribosomal RNA". It matches the Rfam family "Bacterial small subunit ribosomal RNA", at positions 355 to 776 of the family's 1533-position model. Lineage: Bacteria; Pseudomonadati; Bacteroidota. The record is from RNAcentral.